Molecule: ribosomal RNA, 459 nt
Filed under: uncultured bacterium
Lineage: Bacteria
Description: bacterial SSU rRNA
Rfam family: Bacterial small subunit ribosomal RNA
Source: RNAcentral
GAUGAACGCUAGCGGGAGGCCUAAUACAUGCAAGUCGAACGGUAAGGUCCUUCGGAUACACGAGUGGCGGACGGGUGCGUAACGCGUACGGAAUAUACCUUCAACAGGAGAUACCUCCGGGAAACUGGAAUUAAUACCCAUAGUAUUAUAGAUUCGCAUGAAUUUAUGAUUAAAGCUCAGGCGGUUGAAGAUUAUCGUGCGUCUGAUUAGGUAGUUGGUAGGGUAAUGGCCUACCAAGCCAACGAUCAGUAGCUGGUCUGAGAGGAUGAUCAGCCACACUGGAACUGAGACACGGUCCAGACUCCUACGGGAGGCAGCAGUAGGGAAUAUUGGGCAAUGGAGGCAACUCUGACCCAGCCAUCCCGCGUGCAGGAAUAAGGCCCUAUGGGUUGUAAACUAGCUUUUAUUAGGGAAGAAAACUUACGAUUCAUCGGAGCUUGACGGUACCUAACGAAUAAG